This 231-nucleotide ribosomal RNA is filed under the name uncultured bacterium. RNAcentral's name for it is "partial 16S ribosomal RNA". It matches the Rfam family "Bacterial small subunit ribosomal RNA", at positions 15 to 235 of the family's 1533-position model. The record is from RNAcentral.
GAUCAUGGCUCAGGACGAACGCUGGCGGCGUGCCUAACACAUGCAAGUCGAGCGAGGAAUGUCGGAUAGCUUGCUAUUUGAUGUUUCUAGCGGCGGACGGGUGAGUAACGCGUGAGCAACCUGCCUUUAUCAGGGGGAUAACGCAUCGAAAGAUGUGCUAAUACCGCGUAAGACCACAGCCUCACAUGGGGCAGGGGUCAAAGGAGCAAUCCGGAUAAAGAUGGGCUCGCG